ACGCUAACGCAUUAAAUGAUCCGCCUGAGUAGUAUGCUCGCAAGAGUGAAACUUAAAGGAAUUGACGGGGACCCGCACAAGCGGUGGAGCAUGUGGUUUAAUUUGAAGAUACGCGGAGAACCUUACCCACUCUUGACAUCCUUCGCAAUGCUAUAGAGAUAUAGCGGAGGUUAACGGAGUGACAGAUGGUGCAUGGUUGUCGUCAGCUCGUGUCGUGAGAUGUUUGGUCAAGUCCUGCAACGAGCGCAACCCCUAUCUUUAGUUACUAACGAGUCAUGUCGAGGACUCUAGAGAUAA
RNAcentral lists this ribosomal RNA (297 nucleotides) under Mycoplasmopsis arginini. RNAcentral's name for it is "Mycoplasma arginini partial 16S ribosomal RNA". It matches the Rfam family "Bacterial small subunit ribosomal RNA", at positions 848 to 1149 of the family's 1533-position model. The record is from RNAcentral. Lineage: Bacteria; Bacillati; Mycoplasmatota; Mycoplasmoidales; Metamycoplasmataceae.